Molecule: ribosomal RNA, 481 nt
Filed under: uncultured bacterium
Lineage: Bacteria
Description: partial 16S ribosomal RNA
Rfam family: Bacterial small subunit ribosomal RNA
Source: RNAcentral
GAUGAACGCUGGCGGCGUGCCUAACACAUGCAAGUCGAGCGAAGCGCUUAAAUUAGAUUUCUUCGGAAUGACGAUUUUUGUGACUGAGCGGCGGACGGGUGAGUAACGCGUGGGUAACCUGCCUCAUACAGGGGGAUAACAGUUAGAAAUGACUGCUAAUACCGCAUAAGACCCCAGCUUCGCAUGAAGCGGUGGUAAAAACUCCGGUGGUAUGAGAUGGACCCGCGUCUGAUUAGCUAGUUGGUAAGGUAACGGCUUACCAAGGCGACGAUCAGUAGCCGACCUGAGAGGGUGACCGGCCACAUUGGGACUGAGACACGGCCCAGACUCCUACGGGAGGCAGCAGUGGGGAAUAUUGCACAAUGGGGGAAACCCUGAUGCAGCGACGCCGCGUGAAGGAUGAAGUAUUUCGGUAUGUAAACUUCUAUCAGCAGGGAAGAAAGUGACGGUACCUGACAAAGAAGCCCCGGCUAACUACGUG